Long non-coding RNA from Phlebotomus argentipes, 442 nucleotides. RefSeq lists it as uncharacterized. Lineage: Eukaryota; Metazoa; Arthropoda; Insecta; Diptera; Psychodidae. The record is from RefSeq and is a predicted model, not a curated record. The transcript is spliced from 3 exons.
UCAAUUUCUUCCACGCGCAUAUAAAAACGUACUUGUGGCUCGCGAGGAGGCUUCAGUCUGUGACAUUGAGCGCUUCAUUGAGGAUCGUGGCUGGAAUUAGUAAAGCAUCUAAAACCACAAUGCAGAAAGUAACUAUUCUUCUGGUGAUCCUUGGACUCUUCGUGGGCUGUUUGUGGGCAGCUCCUGCUCCUCAAUACGCCAUUGCAGGACCCGUAACGUACGCUGGCUACACGACCUAUGCAUCCCCUUACGUCUAUCCCAGAUACUACACUCCCUACAGAUACGCAUAUCCUGGCUAUGGAUACUAUGGCUAUCCAUACGGUGUUAUUUAGACGAUCUCUCAUCAUCCGGAACCCAUAAGCCAAUCCCUCCUUAGUCCUUUUGCCACUAACUGUUUUUACUCGACAAAUUUAACGUGGAAUAAAUAUCAAAAAGUGCUGAA